ACGCUGGCGGCGUGCUUAACACAUGCAAGUCGAACGAAAAUACCAAGCUUGCUUGGUUGAUUAGUGGCGAACGGGUGAGUAACACGUGAGUAACCUGCCCCUUACUUUCUGGAUAACUGCUCGAAAGGGUAGCUAAUACGGGAUAUUCUGGCCUUCCUGCAUGGGUUGGUUUGGAAAGGUUUUUUCUGGUGAGGGAUGGGCUCGCGGCCUAUCAGCUUGUUGGUGGGGUGAUGGCCUACCAAGGCUUUGACGGGUAGCCGGCCUGAGAGGGUGGACGGUCACACUGGGACUGAGAUACGGCCCAGACUCCUACGGGAGGCAGCAGUGGGGAAUAUUGCACAAUGGGCGCAAGCCUGAUGCAGCGACGCCGCGUGAGGGAUGAAGGCCUUCGGGUUGUAAACCUCUUUCGUCAGGGAACAAGGCACUGCUUUUGGUGGUGUUGAGGGUACCUGGAUAAGAAGCGCCGGCUAACUACGUGCCAGCAGCCGCGGUAAUACGUAGGGCGCAAGCGUUGUCCGGAAUUAUUGGGCGUAAAGAGCUCGUAGGCGGCUGGUCGCGUCUGUCGUGAAAACUUCCGGCUCAACCGGGGGCUUGCGGUGGGUACGGGCCGGCUAGAGUGCGGUAGGGGUAACUGGAACUCCUGGUGUAGCGGUGGAAUGCGCAGAUAUCAGGAAGAACACCGAUGGCGAAGGCAGGUUACUGGGCCGUUACUGACGCUGAGGAGCGAAAGCGUGGGGAGCGAACAGGAUUAGAUACCCUGGUAGUCCACGCUGUAAACGUUGGGCACUAGGUGUGAGGCUCCUUUCCGGGGGUUUUGCGCCGUAGCUAACGCAUUAAGUGCCCCGCCUGGGGAGUACGGCCGCAAGGCUAAAACUCAAAGGAAUUGACGGGGGCCCGCACAAGCGGCGGAGCAUGC
RNAcentral lists this ribosomal RNA (916 nucleotides) under uncultured bacterium. RNAcentral describes it as "bacterial SSU rRNA". It matches the Rfam family "Bacterial small subunit ribosomal RNA", at positions 33 to 942 of the family's 1533-position model. The record is from RNAcentral.